GAUGAACGCUGGCGGCGUGCCUAAUACAUGCAAGUCGAGCGAACGGACGAGAAGCUUGCUUCUCUGAUGUUAGCGGCGGACGGGUGAGUAACACGUGGAUAACCUACCUAUAAGACUGGGAUAACUUCGGGAAACCGGAGCUAAUACCGGAUGAUAUUUUGAACCGCAUGGUUCAAAAGUGAAAGACGGUCUUGCUGUCACUUAUAGAUGGAUCCGCGCUGCAUUAGCUAGUUGGUAAGGUAACGGCUUACCAAGGCAACGAUGCAUAGCCGACCUGAGAGGGUGAUCGGCCACACUGGAGCUGCGACACGGUCCAGACUCCUACGGGAGGCAGCAGUAGGGAAUCUUCCGCAAUGGGCGAAAGCCUGACGGAGCAACGCCGCGUGAGUGAUGAAGGUCUUCGGAUCGUAAAACUCUGUUAUUAGGGAAGAACAUAUGUGUAAGUAACUGUGCACAUCUGGACGGUACCUAAUCAGAAAGCCACGGCUAACUACGU
RNAcentral lists this ribosomal RNA (496 nucleotides) under uncultured bacterium. Its description in RNAcentral is "partial 16S ribosomal RNA". It matches the Rfam family "Bacterial small subunit ribosomal RNA", at positions 28 to 506 of the family's 1533-position model. The record is from RNAcentral.